AUGCAAUUGCUAAUUGCUAAGAUUAUUAAGUAAAAGCAAUUGAAAUUAAUAAAUUUCAAUUCUAAAUGAAAAUAAGGAUUUUCUUAUAUUGUGUAAAAUUCUCAUUAAAAAAAAGAAAUAUUUGUUCUUCGCUUAUGAAUAUAAGCGAUAUGAAGAACUUUUUUAGUAAAAUCUCGUAUACUAAUAUAAAAAAAAAGUUUUUAUUCCAAUACGGAAUGAAAAGAAAAGGACAACAUGCAGAAUGGGUAGAAGAAGUGGGGAUACUUGGUUCAAGCCCUGACACGAAACUUAAAAAAAGAAUAAAAAAAUCCUAAGAAUCCAUAUUUCGUAUAGAAUUUCUUGUGGACACUACAAUACAAAAGUGUAGUUGUGUUUAAUCUUCUUUUUUUUUCAGAUUUUGUAUAUCUAGAUUAAGUAUGUAUCUAUCAAAAACAGUAUAUACACUAGAUAAACUCGGCUCAAUCUUUUUUUUACUAAAAG
This 480-nucleotide long non-coding RNA is filed under the name Brassica napus (rape). RNAcentral describes it as "long non-coding RNA (BNAP_LNC024618)". Lineage: Eukaryota; Viridiplantae; Streptophyta; Magnoliopsida; Brassicales; Brassicaceae. The record is from RNAcentral.